Molecule: transfer RNA, 140 nt
Filed under: bacterium
Lineage: Bacteria
Description: tRNA-Asn
Source: RNAcentral
UCCGCAGUAGCGAAAUGGGUAAAAUUGUCUGGGAGACAAUUUUACGGCCGACAACGAUGUUUUCAAUCGAUGGCAAGUCGGCCAGGAAGAGCAGCGCGCUGUUAACGCGUUGGUUCCAGGUUCGAGUCCUGGCUGCGGAG